AACGAACGUUAGCGGCGCGCCUAACACAUGCAAGUCGCACGAGAAGGGGAUUCGUCCCUGGUAAAGUGGCGCACGGGUGAGUAACACGUGGGUAACGUUCCCUCAGGCGGGGGAUAACCUUCCGAAAGGAGGGCUAAUACCGCAUAAGACCACGGCCUCGAAAGAGGCUGCGGUAAAAGCAGGCCUCUAUACAUAAGCUUGCACCGGAGGAUCGGCCCGCGGCCCAUCAGCUAGUUGGAAGGGUAACGGCCUACCAAGGCGAAGACGGGU
RNAcentral lists this ribosomal RNA (270 nucleotides) under uncultured bacterium. Its description in RNAcentral is "partial 16S ribosomal RNA". It matches the Rfam family "Bacterial small subunit ribosomal RNA", at positions 29 to 284 of the family's 1533-position model. The record is from RNAcentral.